CGGACGGGUGGGUAAUGUCUGGGAAACUGCCUGAUGGAGGGGGAUAACUACUGGAAACGGUAGCUAAUACCGCAUAACGUCGCAAGACCAAAGAGGGGGACCUUCGGGCCUCUUGCCAUCGGAUGUGCCCAGAUGGGAUUAGCUAGUAGGUGGGGUAACGGCUCACCUAGGCGACGAUCCCUAGCUGGUCUGAGAGGAUGACCAGCCACACUGGAACUGAGACACGGUCCAA
RNAcentral lists this ribosomal RNA (232 nucleotides) under uncultured bacterium. RNAcentral's name for it is "partial 16S ribosomal RNA". It matches the Rfam family "Bacterial small subunit ribosomal RNA", at positions 99 to 334 of the family's 1533-position model. The record is from RNAcentral.